Molecule: ribosomal RNA, 570 nt
Filed under: Trichoderma citrinoviride
Lineage: Eukaryota; Fungi; Ascomycota; Sordariomycetes; Hypocreales; Hypocreaceae
Description: eukaryotic LSU rRNA
Rfam family: 5.8S ribosomal RNA (bases 196-349)
Source: RNAcentral
UGUGAACGUUACCAAUCUGUUGCCUCGGCGGGAUUCUCUGCCCCGGGCGCGUCGCAGCCCCGGAUCCCAUGGCGCCCGCCGGAGGACCAACUCAAACUCUUUUUUCUCUCCGUCGCGGCCUACGUCGCGGCUCUGUUUUAUUUUUGCUCUGAGCCUUUCUCGGCGACCCUAGCGGGCGUCUCGAAAAUGAAUCAAAACUUUCAACAACGGAUCUCUUGGUUCUGGCAUCGAUGAAGAACGCAGCGAAAUGCGAUAAGUAAUGUGAAUUGCAGAAUUCAGUGAAUCAUCGAAUCUUUGAACGCACAUUGCGCCCGCCAGUAUUCUGGCGGGCAUGCCUGUCCGAGCGUCAUUUCAACCCUCGAACCCCUCCGGGGGGUCGGCGUUGGGGAUCGGCCCCUCACCGGGCCGCCCCCGAAAUACAGUGGCGGUCUCGCCGCAGCCUCUCCUGCGCAGUAGUUUGCACACUCGCACCGGGAGCGCGGCGCGGCCACAGCCGUAAAACACCCCAAACUCUGAAAUGUUGACCUCGGAUCAGGUAGGAAUACCCGCUGAACUUAAGCAUAUCAAUAA